GGGGAAUCUUGCACAAUGGAGGAAACUCUGAUGCAGCGACGCCGCGUGAGCGAUGAAGCCCUUCGGGGUGUAAAGCUCUUUCGACGGGAACGAUAAUGACGGUACCCGGAGAAGAAGCUGCGGCUAACUACGUGCCAGCAGCCGCGGUAAUACGUAGGCAGCAAACGUUGUUCGGAAUUACUGGGCGUAAAGAGUGUGUAGGCGGUUUUGCAAGGUUGGUGUGAAAUCUCCCGGCUGAACUGGGAGGGUGCGCCGAAAACUGCAAGGCUCGAGUACUGGAGAGGAAAGCGGAAUUCCUGGUGUAGCGGUGAAAUGCGUAGAUAUCAGGAGGAACACCGGUGGUGUAGACGGCUUUCUGGACAGUCACUGACGCUGAGACACGAAAGCGUGGGGAGCAAACA
Molecule: ribosomal RNA, 401 nt
Filed under: uncultured bacterium
Lineage: Bacteria
Description: bacterial SSU rRNA
Rfam family: Bacterial small subunit ribosomal RNA
Source: RNAcentral